AUUGAACGCUGGCGGCGUGCUUAACACAUGCAAGUCGAGCGGUAACGCGGGGGCAACCCUGGCGACGAGCGGCGAACGGGUGCGUAAUGCAUGGGAAUCUGCCUGAUAGUGGGGAAUAACCCGGGGAAACUCGGGCUAAUGCCGCAUACGACCUACGGGUGAAAGCGGGGGACCGUAAGGCCUCGCGCUAUCGGAUGAGCCCAUGUCGGAUUAGCUAGUUGGUAGGGUAACGGCCUACCAAGGCUACGAUCCGUAGCUGGUCUGAGAGGACGGCCAGCCACACUGGGACUGAGACACGGCCCAGACUCCUACGGGAGGCGGCAGUGGGGGAAUAUUGGACAAUGGGGGGAAACCCUGAUCCAGCGACGCCGCGUGUGUGAAGAAGGCCUGCGGGUUGUAAAGCACUUUCGGUGGGAACGAAAUAUGCCGGGCCAAUACCCCGGCAGGCUGACGUUACCCAAUGAAGAAGCACCGGCUAACUCUGUGCCAGCAGCCGCGGUAAU
This 503-nucleotide ribosomal RNA is filed under the name uncultured bacterium. RNAcentral describes it as "bacterial SSU rRNA". It matches the Rfam family "Bacterial small subunit ribosomal RNA", at positions 29 to 524 of the family's 1533-position model. The record is from RNAcentral.